CCUACGGGGGGCAGCAGUGAGGAAUAUUGGUCAAUGGACGAGAGUCUGAACCAGCCAAGUAGCGUGAAGGAUGACUGCCCUAUGGGUUGUAAACUUCUUUUAUAUGGGAAUAAAACGUUCCACGUGUGGGAUUUUGUAUGUACCAUAUGAAUAAGGAUCGGCUAACUCCGUGCCAGCAGCCGCGGUAAUCCGGAGGAUCCGAGCGUUAUCCGGAUUUAUUGGGUUUAAAGGGAGCGUAGGUGGAUUGUUAAGUCAGUUGUGAAAGUUUGCGGCUCAACCGUAAAAUUGCAGUUGAAACUGGCAGUCUUGAGUACAGUAGAGGUGGGCGGAAUUCGUGGUGUAGCGGUGAAAUGCUUAGAUAUCACGAAGAACUCCGAUUGCGAAGGCAGUUCACUGGACUGCAACUGACACUGAGGCUCGAAAGUGUGGGUAUCAAACAGGAUUAGAUACCCGAGUAGUC
This 460-nucleotide ribosomal RNA is filed under the name uncultured bacterium. RNAcentral's name for it is "partial 16S ribosomal RNA". It matches the Rfam family "Bacterial small subunit ribosomal RNA", at positions 338 to 795 of the family's 1533-position model. The record is from RNAcentral.